UGGGAUCUCGAUGCUGGAAUCCUUUAUAACUAUUUUCAAAUUAUUCAAGGAGUUCCACCAGAGUAUUGAAUCG
This 73-nucleotide microRNA precursor is filed under the name Caenorhabditis brenneri. RNAcentral's name for it is "microRNA cbn-mir-7635 precursor". The record is from miRBase by way of RNAcentral. Lineage: Eukaryota; Metazoa; Nematoda; Chromadorea; Rhabditida; Rhabditidae.